GAUGAACGCUGGCGGCGUGCCUAAUACAUGCAAGUCGAGCGAACAGACGAGGAGCUUGCUCCUCUGACGUUAGCGGCGGACGGGUGAGUAACACGUGGAUAACCUACCUAUAAGACUGGGAUAACUUCGGGAAACCGGAGAUAAUACCGGAUAAUAUAUUGAACCGCAUGGUUCAAUAGUGAAAGACGGUUUUGCUGUCACUUAUAGAUGGAUCCGCGCCGCAUUAGCUAGUUGGUAAGGUAACGGCUUACCAAGGCAACGAUGCGUAGCCGACCUGAGAGGGUGAUCGGCCACACUGGAACUGAGACACGGUCCAGACUCCUACGGGAGGCAGCAGUAGGGAAUCUUCGACAAUGGGCGAAAGCUUGACGCAGCAACGCCGCGUGAGUGAAGAAGGUCUUCGGAUCGUAAAGCUCUGUUGUUGGGGAAGAACAAAAGUGUAAGUAACUAUGCACGUCUUGACGGUACCUAAUCAGAAAGCCACGGCUAACUACGUG
This 497-nucleotide ribosomal RNA is filed under the name uncultured bacterium. Its description in RNAcentral is "partial 16S ribosomal RNA". It matches the Rfam family "Bacterial small subunit ribosomal RNA", at positions 28 to 507 of the family's 1533-position model. The record is from RNAcentral.